AUUGAACGCUGGCGGCAGGCUUAACACAUGCAAGUCGAGCGAGAGGAGGAAGGGUGAGUAAUGUCUGGGAAACUGCCUGAUGGAGGGGGAUAACUACUGGAAACGGUAGCUAAUACCGCAUACCAUCAGAUGUGCCCAGAUGGGAUGAGCUAGUAGGUGGGGUAACGGCGCACCUAGGCGACGAUCCCUAGCUGGUCUGAGAGGAUGACCAGCCAACCUGGAACUGAGACACGGUCCAGACUCCUACGGGAGUAAGCAGUGGGUAAUAUUCCAGAAUGGGCGCAAUCCUGAUGAAGCCAUGCCGCGUGUGUGAAGAAGGCCUUCGGGUUGUAAAGCACUUUCAGCGGGGAGGCGUUACCCGCAGAAGAAGCACCGGCUAACUCCGUGCCAGCAGCCGCGGUAAUUC
Molecule: ribosomal RNA, 406 nt
Filed under: uncultured bacterium
Lineage: Bacteria
Description: partial 16S ribosomal RNA
Rfam family: Bacterial small subunit ribosomal RNA
Source: RNAcentral